RNAcentral lists this ribosomal RNA (292 nucleotides) under uncultured Planctomycetota bacterium. Its description in RNAcentral is "uncultured planctomycete partial 16S ribosomal RNA". The record is from RNAcentral. Lineage: Bacteria; Pseudomonadati; Planctomycetota.
GGACUACAAGGGUAUCUAAUCCCGUUUGCUCCCCUGGCUUUCGCGCCUCAGCGUCAGUAGAGGUCCAGCGCGCCGCUUUCGCCACCGGUGUUCCUUCCGAUAUCUACGCAUUUCACCGCUCCACCGGAAGUUCCGCACGCCCCUACCUCCCUCCAGACGGCCAGUAUCAAAGGCACUUUUCCGGUUGAGCCGAAAGAUUUCACCCCUGACUUGACCGCCCGCCUACGCGCCCUUUAAGCCCAGUGAUUCCGAACAACGUUUGCACGGUUCGUCUUACCGCGGCUGCUGGCAC